AGAGUUUGAUCAUGGCUCAGAUUGAACGCUGGCGGCAGGCCUAACACAUGCAAGUCGAGCGGUAGCACAGAGAGCUUGCUCUCGGGUGACGAGCGGCGGACGGGUGAGUAAUGUCUGGGAAACUGCCUGAUGGAGGGGGAUAACUACUGGAAACGGUAGCUAAUACCGCAUAAUGUCGCAAGACCAAAGUGGGGGACCUUCGGGCCUCAUGCCAUCAGAUGUGCCCAGAUGGGAUUAGCUAGUAGGUGGGGUAACGGCUCACCUAGGCGACGAUCCCUAGCUGGUCUGAGAGGAUGACCAGCCACACUGGAACUGAGACACGGUCCAGACUCCUACGGGAGGCAGCAGUGGGGAAUAUUGCACAAUGGGCGCAAGCCUGAUGCAGCCAUGCCGCGUGUGUGAAGAAGGCCUUCGGGUUGUAAAGCACUUUCAGCGGGGAGGAAGGCGGUGAGGUUAAUAACCUCAUCGAUUGACGUUACCCGCAGAAGAAGCACCGGCUAACUCCGUGCCAGCAGCCGCGGUAAUACGGAGGGUGCAAGCGUUAAUCGGAAUUACUGGGCGUAAAGCGCACGCAGGCGGUCUGUCAAGUCGGAUGUGAAAUCCCCGGGCUCAACCUGGGAACUGCAUUCGAAACUGGCAGGCUAGAGUCUUGUAGAGGGGGGUAGAAUUCCAGGUGUAGCGGUGAAAUGCGUAGAGAUCUGGAGGAAUACCGGUGGCGAAGGCGGCCCCCUGGACAAAGACUGACGCUCAGGUGCGAAAGCGUGGGGAGCAAACAGGAUUAGAUACCCUGGUAGUCCACGCUGUAAACGAUGUCGAUUUGGAGGUUGUGCCCUUGAGGCGUGGCUUCCGGAGCUAACGCGUUAAAUCGACCGCCUGGGGAGUACGGCCGCAAGGUUAAAACUCAAAUGAAUUGACGGGGGCCCGCACAAGCGGUGGAGCAUGUGGUUUAAUUCGAUGCAACGCGAAGAACCUUACCUGGUCUUGACAUCCACAGAACUUAGCAGAGAUGCUUUGGUGCCUUCGGGAACUGUGAGACAGGUGCUGCAUGGCUGUCGUCAGCUCGUGUUGUGAAAUGUUGGGUUAAGUCCCGCAACGAGCGCAACCCUUAUCCUUUGUUGCCAGCGGUUAGGCCGGGAACUCAAAGGAGACUGCCAGUGAUAAACUGGAGGAAGGUGGGGAUGACGUCAAGUCAUCAUGGCCCUUACGACCAGGGCUACACACGUGCUACAAUGGCAUAUACAAAGAGAAGCGACCUCGCGAGAGCAAGCGGACCUCAUAAAGUAUGUCGUAGUCCGGAUUGGAGUCUGCAACUCGACUCCAUGAAGUCGGAAUCGCUAGUAAUCGUAGAUCAGAAUGCUACGGUGAAUACGUUCCCGGGCCUUGUACACACCGCCCGUCACACCAUGGGAGUGGGUUGCAAAAGAAGUAGGUAGCUUAACCUUCGGGAGGGCGCUUACCACUUUGUGAUUCAUGACUGGGGUGAAGUCGUAACAAGGUAACCGUAGGGGAACCUGCGGUUG
This 1520-nucleotide ribosomal RNA is filed under the name Klebsiella pneumoniae. RNAcentral describes it as "bacterial SSU rRNA". It matches the Rfam family "Bacterial small subunit ribosomal RNA". The record is from RNAcentral. Lineage: Bacteria; Pseudomonadati; Pseudomonadota; Gammaproteobacteria; Enterobacterales; Enterobacteriaceae.